GCCGGCCGCGCGGUGGCUGUAAAAGCAAACUGACUUGUAAUCAGUAGGUCCCGGGUUCGACUCCUGGUGCCGGCACCA
This 78-nucleotide transfer RNA is filed under the name compost metagenome. RNAcentral describes it as "tRNA-Thr". The stretch from base 16 to 75 matches the Rfam family "tRNA". From Rfam's summary of the family: Transfer RNA (tRNA) molecules are approximately 80 nucleotides in length. Their secondary structure includes four short double-helical elements and three loops (D, anti-codon, and T loops). Further hydrogen bonds mediate the characteristic L-shaped molecular structure. tRNAs have two regions of fundamental functional importance: the anti-codon, which is responsible for specific mRNA codon recognition, and the 3' end, to which the tRNAs corresponding amino acid is attached (by aminoacyl-tRNA synthetases). tRNAs cope with the degeneracy of the genetic code in two manners: having more than one tRNA (with a specific anti-codon) for a particular amino acid; and 'wobble' base-pairing, i.e. permitting non-standard base-pairing at the 3rd anti-codon position. The record is from RNAcentral.